This 481-nucleotide ribosomal RNA is filed under the name uncultured bacterium. RNAcentral's name for it is "partial 16S ribosomal RNA". It matches the Rfam family "Bacterial small subunit ribosomal RNA", at positions 28 to 523 of the family's 1533-position model. The record is from RNAcentral.
GACGAACGCUGGCGGCGUGCUUAACACAUGCAAGUCGAACGGUGAAGGGGAGCUUGCUCCCUGGAUCAGUGGCGAACGGGUGAGUAACACGUGGGCAACCUGCCCCUGACUUCGGGAUAACGCCUCGAAAGAGGUGCUAAUACCGGAUAUGUACUCUGAGGGCACCCUCGGGGUUGGCAAGUUUUUCGGUCAGGGAUGGGCCCGCGGCCCAUCAGCUUGGUGGUGAGGUAGUGGCUCACCAAGGCGACGACGGGUAGCCGGCCUGAGAGGGCGACCGGCCACACUGGGACUGAGACACGGCCCAGACUCCUACGGGAGGCAGCAGUGGGGAAUAUUGCGCAAUGGGCGAAAGCCUGACGCAGCAACGCCGCGUGAGGGAUGAAGGCCUUCGGGUUGUAAACCUCUUUCAGCAGGGAAGAAGCGAAAGUGACGGUACCUGCAGAAGAAGCACCGGCUAACUACGUGCCAGCCGCCGCGGUAA